Molecule: long non-coding RNA, 3759 nt
Organism: Strigops habroptila (Kakapo)
Lineage: Eukaryota; Metazoa; Chordata; Aves; Psittaciformes; Psittacidae
Exons: 2
Source: RefSeq, a predicted model, not a curated record
CUUGACAACCCAGAUUUAAAUAUAUUAACUGCAAAGUCAUAAAAAUCAGCACUCUGUGGCAAGCCCAAGCCUAAAGAUAAGACUGCUCAAUAGAGACCACUGUUUCCACGGCCGGCUCCAGAGGAGGGUAUGUUUCCAUAUACAACAAGCGCCCUUUAUGUGGAGGAGGCUGAGAAGACGCCUUGUCUGAGCCAGCCAAAUUCAGUUUUUAAAAAACAUUUUCUUUUGCUGGAAGGCAGAAGGCUGGGGUUUCGCCAAGGAAUGCGCACAGGCAGAAUCGGGCGCGUGGCGGCACGUGGAGCACCCUCCCCGCUCCCAUGGCGGCAAGGAGCAGCCCCACAAGCAGGGGUCUGUGAGGAGACGUGUGGCCCCAAGCCCCCCCACAAUGAGGUGAGAGUCCCUGGGACCUGGACCUGUUUCUGCUCCAGGGCAGGAGAAUGGGCAACAGGUAGGAAAGGAGAGGAGCCAGACAAAAGGCAUCACGCUGUAAAGACAAGAGCACAUGAGUACAUCAGGGAUCAAAUAUCCCAGAUAAAACCAGACUGAGUGCAGCGAAGGAGAGAAAUGAGGAGGAGUUGUUUUUCAUGCAGCAGCUUUAUUAGCAUUUGAAUAUCAUCCGUGAAACACCUCUUCUACAGGCAUCUAACUUUUUCUCCUCCUCUCACCUGUGAAAAUAACCACAAGGUUCAACCUGGAAGGUAAAAAUCAGCACUGCAGCUUAUUGACAAAGUCUGCCAUCUCCCAUCUAGGCAAACAGAAAUGUUUGCUACAGUCACCCCCAAUUAUUUUUUCUUCUUUGGCUUGUCCCAUGCAAGUAUUUUAGUACCCAAUUAAAAUAUUUAUACUUUCAACAUCAUCCAGCAGAGCUUCAAUAAUAUGGCUGUGGCCGAAAGGGAAAGGAUAAACCAGGAGGCAGAAUCAAUUAGGCCGUUCAACCGCUUACACGUUACAGUCUGAGUUUCUGAGGCCAGCAAAGGCACGGGUGAACUGCUUUGGAUUAGAUAAAUUAAAGUUCAGCUUUACUGCCCAUGGUGACAAACUGUUCUUUUGUUCAAGUUUAAACACCAGUACUCCUCCUGCCCCUGCCCCCAUCAUUCAUUUGCUUGAAAUCUUUCACACUAUGACCCACAAAAAGCACAUCUUCUUUCCUGUAAAGGCAAUUCUAGAACAUAGAAGGUCUGUUUAGAUUUUUGGUGAUGCUUUUUCCCUUCCCAUCUAACACAGAGAAGAACAGAGAGACUUUUAGGCAUAGCUGCUUCCCCCCCAAACAUCUGCCAUGACAUAUUUGACAUAUGUCAAAUCAAAAGAAGCCAUGAUUUCCCGUACAGAGCCUUCGGCUUGUGUUACUGUGCCCUCAGUCGCCCCAUCCUCAUUAAUCUUCAGUUAAUAAGUGGUUAAAACCUGCUGACCUGAUGAAAAAACAUAGAAAGGCUAGCACCACUCUCAUUUAUCUAUUGUGGUCAAACAUCUUCCUGGAGGAGGAGGAGGAGAAGGAGGACUAGGAGGACGACACAUUUGUCUGUGACAGCAUGAGGCCAGGCACAAUGUCACCCAGUUUUCAGGUACAAUUCACAAAUGUUAUAUGUUAUCCACCGUCAAAUAUUUGAAAACUUGCCCUUGAAGUCACUCCCAUGUCACUAAUGUUAGCCCCUACUGGUAGUUUCUGAUUACUAAAGGAACAGAAGGAGAUUCAGGAAUAAGGCAAGAAGCAGCACAGCAAAAAUACAGAAAAGCACAUACAGAGGUCAUGGUAUCUGGCUUAUUCUUUGCCACCAUUUAUUUUAGAGCUCAGUACUCAGUCAGCUCAGAAUACCCAUCACAUUUGAUAAUUGUUUUGGUUAGUAAUAACAAUAGAUUCACUUGGAUUUAUUAGACACAGAAUACUUUAUUUGAUGCCAAUCUCCGGAAAUGUACUAAUGCCUGCUGACAGUGUUCUCACACUGUGUCUCUCCAAACAAGAAGUGAGGUCAUCAUGAUUCAUGUAAUAAUCUGAUGCACAUUUUGUGGCAAUUUAGAAAAGUUUAAAAUUCAUAAACUAGGACAUUUUGUUUGGGGUUUUUUUCCCCUCCAGUCUGCAAUUAGGAUUUCCUAAGUGGAACACCAAACUUUAGAAAAUCCAAGGAGAAACUGUUUACACACUUUCCAGACAUCAGUUCUGCUUUUUUUUUGGUUCUUGGGGUUUUUUUUUUUUCCUUUGCUUACUGAAGUGGAGGAGCCUACACAGUUUGUUUCUGUACAAAGUGCUGCCCUUCUCCAGCAAGAAGGGAGUCUUCUUUAAUUAAAAGUGACAUUCCAGAAAGUUUGCAAUUAGAAAGGAUCAAGGUGCAACAAGAACAGCCUGAGGAAAUACUUUUGCAAAGAGGGCAGGGAUUGUUGAUAAUUACAAUGAGGCAAGAGAAAUAGGUAUAUUAACUACAUUUCUUUUCUUCUAAGCUUGGUAAAAAAAAGGCAGAGAAUGUCCUGUAUUUACAAGAAAAGAACAAGAAAGAAGACUGAUCCUUAGGCAAUAACAUUAGAUACUGCACCUGGAUUUCUUGAAUUGCAAACUACAGAGGACAGAGCGGUUCAGGUACCACCUCAAGUAUCUGAAUUAAAAACUCAUCUACCUCUGGCUGUAGGAAGAGCAGCAUGCAGACCAUGAAGAGCAUUCCUGGAAGCAACUCCAGGCAGAGAUAGCCCUGUUUCAGCAUGUGCAAUUGCAGAACAUGUGGCUGAAACAACUCUGCUGCAGAGAAGCGCUGGGACUCCCUUCACCAUGCCUCCAGCACGAGUCCCCACUGUCACAUCAAGGUGGCCCAGCCAGAGGACAUCAAAAGAAGGUGUUAGGAGUCAGAAUCACGCCAAACAGGAGACAGUUCCUUGCACAGUUUGCAGUCAAAACCACAGACCUCCCUGCAAAGCACUGUCAUGGAAACCAAAACCCUAUAGAAGAUGAAACGGAGGGUGGAAAAAAGCUCAAGGGAUACAAAUCCUCAACAUACGUAGAAAUCACACCCUUCUUGUGAAUCUGCAAGCUGAACUCUUCCCAGGCAUCUGCUGAUACCCACAACCACGUCCAUUCUCCUGGGCUAAACUAACCUUGGGUCCAAACCAGUGCAGCCAGCCACUCUUACCUGCUCAGAGGGCUUUGUCAUGGCCCUGGACCAGGCAGACCUCAGGAUUGGUACUGUGCAGCCAGCUCCACUCCUCAGUCCUCAGUGCAGCACACCCCACAUCUUCACCCCAGGGAUUCACCAAAAGGCACUGUGGCACUGCAGGCUGCCCAUGUCACCCCCGGCACCGCGGGAUGUGUUUACCAGGAGCAGCCUCCCGGGAAGUGGUCAGGCUGGAGAGAGCAACACUGAAAGGGCGCAGAUACCAUCGGCACUGCUCUCCCUGCUCAAAGGCAGACUUCACAGAAGUUCAGUGUCUGGUAAGAGACCCAAUUCAGAAAUGAAGCAAAAGAGUUGCUGCUUAGAAAGAGGCAUGGGAACAGUGACAAAAAAGGGAUGCCUUUCCAGCAGUAUCAAGCAGUUGCAGGUAAAACUGGUCGUCUUGUUUUACACCUGCAGUUGAGUUUUUCUCCCCUUAAAGAAAUGUUUGCUUUGCUGUUUGGUUGAAGUUUUUAAGAAGCUGUCAGCUGUUAUACUGAAUUAAAUGCUUUUUAUUAUGCAAAGGCUGACAGUGCCUGAGCUGUAACUGUGUGAAUGUGAACAGCAUAUUAAUUCAAAGUCUGUAUGAUUACACUUUGCCAUUAAAGGUCACUCAGCAUUUUGAUUU